UCCCGGCCCUGCCCUCACGGGCGGAGCGCCCGCCGGAGGAUACCAAACUCUAUUUUAACGACGUUUCUUCUGAGUGGCACAAGCAAAUAAUUAAAACUUUCAACAACGGAUCUCUUGGUUCUGGCAUCGAUGAAGAACGCAGCGAAAUGCGAUAAGUAAUGUGAAUUGCAGAAUUCAGUGAAUCAUCGAAUCUUUGAACGCACAUUGCGCCCGCCAGCAUUCUGGCGGGCAUGCCUGUUCGAGCGUCAUUUCAACCCUCAAGCUCUGCUUGGUGUUGGGGCCCUACGGUUGACGUAGGCCCUUAAAGGUAGUGGCGGACCCUCUCGGAGCCUCCUUUGCGUAGUAACUAACGUCUCGCACUGGGAUUCGGAGGGACUCUUGCCGUAAAACCCCCAAAUUUUUAAAGGUUGACCUCGGAUCAGGUAGGAAUACCCGCUGAACUUAAGCAUA
This 450-nucleotide ribosomal RNA is filed under the name Colletotrichum coccodes. Its description in RNAcentral is "eukaryotic LSU rRNA". The stretch from base 95 to 248 matches the Rfam family "5.8S ribosomal RNA". The record is from RNAcentral. Lineage: Eukaryota; Fungi; Ascomycota; Sordariomycetes; Glomerellales; Glomerellaceae.